RNAcentral lists this ribosomal RNA (430 nucleotides) under uncultured bacterium. Its description in RNAcentral is "partial 16S ribosomal RNA". It matches the Rfam family "Bacterial small subunit ribosomal RNA", at positions 29 to 507 of the family's 1533-position model. The record is from RNAcentral.
GCGAACGCUGGCGGCAGGCUUAACACCUGCAAGUCGAGCGCCCCGCAAGGGGAGCGGCAGACGGGAGAGUAACACGUGGGAACAUACCUUUUGGUUCGGAACAACUGAGGGAAACUUCAGCUAAUACCGGAUAAGCCCUUACGGGGAAAGAUUUAUCGCCGAAAGAUUGGCCCGCGUCUGAUUAGCUAGUUGGUGAGGUAACGGCUCACCAAGGCGACGAUCAGUAGCUGGUCUGAGAGGAUGAUCAGCCUCACUGGGACUGAGACACGGCCCAGACUCCUACGGGAGGCAGCAGUGGGGAAUAUUGGACAAUGGGGGCAACCCUGAUCCAGCCAUGCCGCGUGAGUGAUGAAGGCCUUAGGGUUGUAAAGCUCUUUUGCCCGGGAAGAUAAUGACGGUACCGGGAGAAUAAGCCCCGGCUAACUUCGUG